This 201-nucleotide ribosomal RNA is filed under the name uncultured bacterium. Its description in RNAcentral is "partial 16S ribosomal RNA". It matches the Rfam family "Bacterial small subunit ribosomal RNA", at positions 328 to 538 of the family's 1533-position model. The record is from RNAcentral.
ACGCUCGACACCUACGGGAGGCAGCAGUGGGGGGAUAUUGCACAAUGGGGGAAACCCUGAUGCAGCAACGCCGCGUGAAGGAUGAAGGUUUUCGGAUUGUAAACUUCUGUUCUUAGUGGCGAUAAUGACGGUAGCUAAGAAGAAAGCUCCGGCUAACUACGUGCCAACAGCCGCGGUAAUNUGAGGCGGGCGUGGCAAGGC